CUUUCAACAACGGAUCUCUUGGCUCCGGCAUCGAUGAAGAACGCAGCGAAAUGCGAUAAGUAAUGUGAA
This 69-nucleotide ribosomal RNA is filed under the name Ionaspis odora. RNAcentral describes it as "partial 5.8S ribosomal RNA". It matches the Rfam family "5.8S ribosomal RNA", at positions 3 to 71 of the family's 154-position model. Rfam says of the family: 5.8S ribosomal RNA (5.8S rRNA) is a component of the large subunit of the eukaryotic ribosome. It is transcribed by RNA polymerase I as part of the 45S precursor that also contains 18S and 28S rRNA. Functionally, it is thought that 5.8S rRNA may be involved in ribosome translocation. Lineage: Eukaryota; Fungi; Ascomycota; Lecanoromycetes; Hymeneliales; Hymeneliaceae. The record is from RNAcentral.